RNAcentral lists this ribosomal RNA (472 nucleotides) under uncultured fungus. RNAcentral's name for it is "SSU rRNA". It matches the Rfam family "Eukaryotic small subunit ribosomal RNA", at positions 608 to 1085 of the family's 1831-position model. The record is from RNAcentral. Lineage: Eukaryota; Fungi.
AGUUGUUGUGGUUAAAAGCUCGUAGUAGAAGCUCGGGCUCCGGCCGACUGGUCCGCCUCACCGCGUGCACUGGUUCGGCCGGGCCUUCACCUUCUGCGGAACCGCAUCUCCUUCACUGGGGGUGUCGGGGAAACAGGACGUUUACUGUGAAAAAAUUAGAGUGCUCCAGGCAGGCCUAUGCUCGAAUAGAUUAGCAUGGAAUAAUGGAAUAGGACGUGUGGUCUUAUUUCGUUGGUUUCUAGGACCGCCGUAAUGAUUAAUAGGGACAGUCGGGGGCAUCAGUAUUCAAUCGUCAGAGGUGAAAUUCUUGGAUCGAUUGAAGACUAACUACUGCGAAAGCAUUUGCCAAGGAUGUUUUCAUUUAUCAGGAACGAAAGUUAGGGGAUCGAAGACGAUCAGAUACCGUCGUAGUCUUAACCAUAAACUAUGCCGACUAGGGAUCGGACGGUGUUAUUUCUUGACCCGUUCGGCA